RNAcentral lists this ribosomal RNA (1447 nucleotides) under uncultured organism. RNAcentral's name for it is "16S ribosomal RNA". It matches the Rfam family "Bacterial small subunit ribosomal RNA". The record is from RNAcentral.
UGAACGCUAGCUACAGGCUUAACACAUGCAAGUCGCGGGGCAGCAUGGUCUUAGCUUGCUAAGGCCGAUGGCGACCGGCGCACGGGUGAGUAACACGUAUCCAACCUGCCGUCUACUCUUGGACAGCCUUCUGAAAGGAAGAUUAAUACAAGAUGGCAUCAUGAGUCCGCAUGUUCACAUGAUUAAAGGUAUUCCGGUAGACGAUGGGGAUGCGUUCCAUUAGAUAGUAGGCGGGGUAACGGCCCACCUAGUCUUCGAUGGGUAGGGGUUCUGAGAGGAAGGUCCCCCACAUUGGAACUGAGACACGGUCCAAACUCCUACGGGAGGCAGCAGUGAGGAAUAUUGGUCAAUGGGCGAGAGCCUGAACCAGCCAAGUAGCGUGAAGGAUGACUGCCCUAUGGGUUGUAAACUUCUUUUAUAAAGGAAUAAAGUCGGGUAUGGAUACCCGUUUGCAUGUACUUUAUGAAUAAGGAUCGGCUAACUCCGUGCCAGCAGCCGCGGUAAUACGGAGGAUCCGAGCGUUAUCCGGAUUUAUUGGGUUUAAAGGGAGCGUAGAUGGAUGUUUAAGUCAGUUGUGAAAGUUUGCGGCUCAACCGUAAAAUUGCAGUUGAUACUGGAUAUCUUGAGUGCAGUUGAGGCAGGCGGAAUUCGUGGUGUAGCGGUGAAAUGCUUAGAUAUCACGAAGAACUCCGAUUGCGAAGGCAGCCUGCUAAGCUGCAACUGACAUUGAGGCUCGAAAGUGUGGGUAUCAAACAGGAUUAGAUACCCUGGUAGUCCACACGGUAAACGAUGAAUACUCGCUGUUUGCGAUAUACAGCAAGCGGCCAAGCGAAAGCGUUAAGUAUUCCACCUGGGGAGUACGCCGGCAACGGUGAAACUCAAAGGAAUUGACGGGGGCCCGCACAAGCGGAGGAACAUGUGGUUUAAUUCGAUGAUACGCGAGGAACCUUACCCGGGCUUAAAUUGCAGAUGAAUUACGGUGAAAGCCGUAAGCCGCAAGGCAUCUGUGAAGGUGCUGCAUGGUUGUCGUCAGCUCGUGCCGUGAGGUGUCGGCUUAAGUGCCAUAACGAGCGCAACCCUUGUUGUCAGUUACUAACAGGUUCUGCUGAGGACUCUGACAAGACUGCCAUCGUAAGAUGUGAGGAAGGUGGGGAUGACGUCAAAUCAGCACGGCCCUUACGUCCGGGGCUACACACGUGUUACAAUGGGGGGUACAGAGGGCCGCUACCACGCGAGUGGAUGCCAAUCCCCAAAACCUCUCUCAGUUCGGACUGGAGUCUGCAACCCGACUCCACGAAGCUGGAUUCGCUAGUAAUCGCGCAUCAGCCACGGCGCGGUGAAUACGUUCCCGGGCCUUGUACACACCGCCCGUCAAGCCAUGGGAGCCGGGGGUACCUGAAGUGCGUAACCGCGAGGAGCGCCCUAGGGUAAAACUGGUGACUGGGGC